GCCUGACUGGCUCAGUUCGUAGAGCAUGUGACUCUUGAUCUUAGGGUCAUGAGUUCAUGCCCCAUUUUGGGCA
This 73-nucleotide transfer RNA is filed under the name Ailuropoda melanoleuca (giant panda). It matches the Rfam family "tRNA". Rfam says of the family: Transfer RNA (tRNA) molecules are approximately 80 nucleotides in length. Their secondary structure includes four short double-helical elements and three loops (D, anti-codon, and T loops). The record is from Rfam by way of RNAcentral. Lineage: Eukaryota; Metazoa; Chordata; Mammalia; Carnivora; Ursidae.